UCUUAUAAGGCCGUGUUCACACCAAACGCCGUGUAGAGUAAACAUGUUUACAAUUAGUUUAGUGUAGUGUACACUGGUUUCACAUUACAUUUGUUCACAUCUAUACACCUUGUUUAGCUACCUGUACAUAAGAUUUGUUCCCACUUGUAAACUAUAUGUCAUUUAAAUGUUCAUUACGUAGAACUGAAUUCAAAAUUUUUGAAAAUUUUUUCUAGCGGUAAGAGAACAACUAUUUGACUUCAAAAGAGGGGUGGGGGAUGGGAAUGGAAAUAUUCCGAUCCCCAAUUUGAUAAAAAAAAAAAAAAAGGUCAUACAGAUAAUAAAAAAAAUUAUUCUGAAUCAAGAGUUUCCCCAUACAUUAUAGUGUUAAAUAUUGAAAAAAAAAAGUGUUUGAUCACCAGCAUCGAAAAAAAAAAGGAAUAAAAACGUACGUAAGUUAAGUGGUUGCUACUUUAUGAAAGCCAUUUUUAUAAUUUGCAGUAGUUUGAAUAUCACUAGAGAUGUCUCGAUAACGCAUUAGAAAACGUUAGCUGCAACAGCGUGCUUACAGCCGGAAAAAAAAGGAUUGAGAUAUUAUGGAUCACUACAUUUUUAUCUUUUCUGUUCGUUUCAAAUGGUUUUUCUUCUCCAAGGAAUAUUUGGUAAAGGAAUAGGGUAACGUUUUUUUUUUAAUUUAUUUUACGUGUUAUUUAACGGAACUGAGAUACUAGACAAACAGAUCAUUUACCUCACAUUUUUUUUAGUCAUGCAUUUAUGCGUGAAUCGUUUUUUGAGUAAAGACCAGUGGCGAAUAUUUCUGUGUACGUCAAGUCGAUUCGGGAAGACCUUUUCAAAUGAAUUAGGCAGCAACUAUUUACUUAAAUUUUUGUGGAGGGGGAGGGGGGCGUGAGCUUUUGAUUUUUUUUAGGACAAAUUUUGGUGACAAGUCGAAAUCAAUUUUAGCAUUAUAUAUAGUGGCAGCUGAGGGUGAAACAAACAUUUUUUUUCAGGGCCAAAAACUGGAAACAUUUUUUGUUUCCAAAACAAAAUCCAUAGCUCACCACCCCCACCCCCUUGCCUUUACGUUUUAUACUCGACUAUAAUAGCUCCCCCCCCCCCCCGAAAAUCAAUUGGUUGCUGCCUUAUGGGUUCGGCAAUGAUGCUGCUUUGAGUCUUGAUUAGGGGUUAAUAAAGUACGUUAAUUUUUUUUAACCAAAAAAAAAUCUGUAAAAUUUAGACAACUAAUAAUUAUCAAAAUAUAUCAAUUUUACUCAAAAAAGUAGUUCCUCCUUAAAUAUUUACACGAUAAAACUAAUGUCCUAAAUGCAGUUUUGUGUACACUUAACCUACACAUGGCCUACAUUGACUAUCGACUGUGUGUAGGUAAAACAUGAUUUAAACUACAUGUAAACAUUGAGUUUUAUCAAUGGGAACGCAAUUGUGUUUAGUUUACGUGUGAGUUACACAAACACAACACCGAAUUUAGGUCAAUGUGAACACGGCC
Molecule: long non-coding RNA, 1483 nt
Filed under: Mytilus galloprovincialis (Mediterranean mussel)
Lineage: Eukaryota; Metazoa; Mollusca; Bivalvia; Mytilida; Mytilidae
Source: RNAcentral